CAUGCAGUCGAGCGGACAGAAGGGAGCUUGCUCCCGGAUGUUAGCGGCGGACGGGUGAGUAACACGUGGGUAACCUGCCUGUAAGACUGGGAUAACUCCGGGAAACCGGAGCUAAUACCGGAUAGUUCCUUGAACCGCAUGGUUCAAGGAUGAAAGACGGUUUCGGCUGUCACUUACAGAUGGACCCGCGGCGCAUUAGCUAGUUGGUGAGGUAACGGCUCACCAAGGCGACGAUGCGUAGCCGACCUGAGAGGGUGAUCGGCCACACUGGGACUGAGACACGGCCCAGACUCCUACGGGAGGCAGCAGUAGGGAAUCUUCCGCAAUGGACGAAAGUCUGACGGAGCAACGCCGCGUGAGUGAUGAAGGUUUUCGGAUCGUAAAGCUCUGUUGUUAGGGAAGAACAAGUGCAAGAGUAACUGCUUGCACCUUGACGGUACCUAACCAGAAAGCCACGGCUAACUACGUGCCAGCAGCCGCGGUAAUACGUAGGUGGCAAGCGUUGUCCGGAAUUAUUGGGCGUAAAGGGCUCGCAGGCGGUUUCUUAAGUCUGAUGUGAAAGCCCCCGGCUCAACCGGGGAGGGUCAUUGGAAACUGGGAAACUUGAGUGCAGAAGAGGAGAGUGGAAUUCCACGUGUAGCGGUGAAAUGCGUAGAGAUGUGGAGGAACACCAGUGGCGAAGGCGACUCUCUGGUCUGUAACUGACGCUGAGGAGCGAAAGCGUGGGGAGCGAACAGGAUUAGAUAUUUUGUGUGGAUGUUCA
Molecule: ribosomal RNA, 763 nt
Filed under: Bacillus pumilus
Lineage: Bacteria; Bacillati; Bacillota; Bacilli; Caryophanales; Bacillaceae
Description: bacterial SSU rRNA
Rfam family: Bacterial small subunit ribosomal RNA
Source: RNAcentral